UUAUGUAUCCUUGCCCCUCCCCUUGGUUUUUUUGCAAAGCCCCGAGCGCUAGGCAUCUGCGCUCGCUCGCCCCCGCCCCCAUCGUUCCCGCAUUCUCGCCCCUCCUUCCCGCCUCCCCGCUCCUCCUUCCCACCUCCUCGCCGGCCAGUUCGCGCGCGCACACUAGUUUCUCCACCAAAUCGUCGCCAACGAGUCUGGUAGAUGCACCAAAUCGGUGCUCCUCGAUCCAGCGUCGGUGUCGCCGGACUCGCCAUGUCCCGGCCACCGCAUCCUCGAGCGGCGCCAGCCGCCGACUUCGGCCACGAUGCUGCGUGGUUAGAUCCGGGCCGGCUGGUCCCGCAAGGAUUUGAUGAUCUAGAGUCCAUUCAUAGUGACGGAACGGAGUUCGGCGACGUCCUGAGCAAUGGAUCGAUGGAGGGCGGCGGCAGUGGCGUCAAAUAUCAGCGGCGCGUGGAGGCGGAAGGAGAACAACCCGAUGCAAAUUGAUGACGUGGACCCAAUUUUGAAUAUAGCUACCACGUUUUAGCUAGUCUCUUGGACUAUCCCUAUAGAAUUAUGUAGUUUCCUACUUUUACAAAAGGGCACAAUCUCCAUAUUUAGAUAACAAAAUACAAGAGCUCUUGGAGAUGCUUAAACAUAGCCUAGGAUAUCAUUUAGAUCCCUUUAUUUUUAUAAAAUACAAAAAAUCUAGCUCUCUAAACUUAGCUUUGGGUUAUUGAAGGAGUUAGCCACUUUGAUAAUAUGGUUAACUCUGAUAUUCCAUUACCCUUUAUUCCAUUAUCAAAAUGGAUUCCUUGGAUCCAAUGAACAAAGUAAAAAGCAGUAAUAUAAGAAGAGGAAAUAGCAUAGUAUUUCCCGUUUCAUGAGGAUAGACAAAAGUGUUUUUAGCCUCAAAGGAGUGCUAAAGGAUCCUAGCUUAUUUAUUGUAUUACCAGGAAUUUGGAGUCUAUUUUUGGAAAAAAAAAACUCCACCCUUCAUUGUUGAUAAAACAAAAUCCCUAUUGACUCUUU
Long non-coding RNA from Panicum virgatum (switchgrass), 1011 nucleotides. RefSeq lists it as uncharacterized. Lineage: Eukaryota; Viridiplantae; Streptophyta; Magnoliopsida; Poales; Poaceae. The transcript is spliced from 2 exons. The record is from RefSeq and is a predicted model, not a curated record.